This is a small nuclear RNA of Ailuropoda melanoleuca (giant panda), 105 nucleotides long. The record is from Ensembl. Lineage: Eukaryota; Metazoa; Chordata; Mammalia; Carnivora; Ursidae.
UUGCUGUGGCAGCACAUAUACUAAAAUUGGAAAAAAAUACAGGGAAGAUUAGCAUGGUCCCUGCACAAGGAGGACACACAAAUUUGUAAAGCAUUCAAUUUUUUA